GCCCGGAUGGCGGAACUGGUAGACGCACAGGACUUAAAAUCCUGGGGCUUUUAGCCGUGUGGGUUCGAGUCCCACUCCGGGCACCA
This 86-nucleotide transfer RNA is filed under the name Spiribacter sp. RNAcentral describes it as "tRNA-Leu". It matches the Rfam family "tRNA". From Rfam's summary of the family: Transfer RNA (tRNA) molecules are approximately 80 nucleotides in length. Their secondary structure includes four short double-helical elements and three loops (D, anti-codon, and T loops). Further hydrogen bonds mediate the characteristic L-shaped molecular structure. tRNAs have two regions of fundamental functional importance: the anti-codon, which is responsible for specific mRNA codon recognition, and the 3' end, to which the tRNAs corresponding amino acid is attached (by aminoacyl-tRNA synthetases). tRNAs cope with the degeneracy of the genetic code in two manners: having more than one tRNA (with a specific anti-codon) for a particular amino acid; and 'wobble' base-pairing, i.e. permitting non-standard base-pairing at the 3rd anti-codon position. Lineage: Bacteria; Pseudomonadati; Pseudomonadota; Gammaproteobacteria; Chromatiales; Ectothiorhodospiraceae. The record is from RNAcentral.